UCGAACGGGAUCCUUCGGGAUUUAGUGGCGGACGGGUGAGUAACGCGUGAGAAUCUGCCCUUAGGUUGGGGACAACAGUUGGAAACGACUGCUAAUACCCAAUGUGCCGAGAGGUGAAAGGUUAACUGCCUGGGGAUGAGCUCGCGUCUGAUUAGCUAGUUGGAGUGGUAACGGCACACCAAGGCGACGAUCAGUAGCUGGUCUGAGAGGAUGAUCAGCCACACUGGGACUGAGACACGGCCCAGACUCCUACGGGAGGCAGCAGUGGGGAAUUUUCCGCAAUGGGCGAAAGCCUGACGGAGCAAGACCGCGUGAGGGAGGAAGGCCUAUUGGUUGUAAACCUCUUUUGAUAGGGAAGAACACAAUGACGGUACCUAUCGAAUCAGCAUCGGCUAACUCCGUGCCAGCAGCCGCGGUAAUACGGAGGAUGCAAGCGUUAUCCGGAUUUAUUGGGCGUAAAGCGUCCGUAGGUGGCAAACCAAGUCAGUUGUUAAAGCGUAGAGCUUAACUCUAUAAGGGCAAUUGAAACUGGUUAGCUAGAGUGCGAUAGGGGCAAGGGGAAUUCCCAGUGUAGCGGUGAAAUGCGUAGAUAUUGGGAAGAACAUCGGUGGCGAAGGCGCCUUGCUGGGUCUGCACUGACACUGAGGGACGAAAGCUAGGGGAGCGAAAGGGAUUAGAUACCCCUGUAGUCCUAGCCGUAAACGAUGGAUACUAGGCGUUGUCCGU
This 726-nucleotide ribosomal RNA is filed under the name cyanobacterium enrichment culture clone 4_RT_4.1.1_D04-T7. RNAcentral describes it as "bacterial SSU rRNA". It matches the Rfam family "Bacterial small subunit ribosomal RNA", at positions 62 to 830 of the family's 1533-position model. The record is from RNAcentral. Lineage: Bacteria; Bacillati; Cyanobacteriota. RNAcentral also lists the same sequence under 1 other name.